Molecule: ribosomal RNA, 478 nt
Filed under: uncultured bacterium
Lineage: Bacteria
Description: partial 16S ribosomal RNA
Rfam family: Bacterial small subunit ribosomal RNA
Source: RNAcentral
GAUGAACGUUGGCGGCGUGCCUAACACAUGCAAGUCGAGCGGAGAUAGCAGCAAUGUUAUCUUAGCGGCGGACGGGUGAGUAACGCGUGGGUAACCUGCCUUUUACAGGGGGAUAACACAGGGAAACUUGUGCUAAUACCGCAUAACAUACCGGGGUGGCAUCAUUCUGGUAUCAAAGGAGCAAUCCGGUAGAAGAUGGGCCCGCGUCCGAUUAGCUAGGUGGGGGUGUAAUGGACCACCAAGGCGACGAGCGGGAGCCGAACUGAGAGGUUGAUCGGCCACAUUGGGACUGAUACACGGCCCAGACUCCAACGGGACGCAGCAGUGGGGAAUAUUGCGCAAUGGAGGAAACGCUGACGGAGCAACGACGCGUGAAGGAUGAAGGUCUUCGGAUUGUAAACUGCUUUAGUCGGGGACGAAGAAAUGACGGGACCCGAAGAAUAAGCCACGGCUAACUACGUGCCAGCCGCCGCAGUAA